GGAUUCAUGUGUGACGUUUCUGUGGUUACGACAACCUGAACCACUGUCUUCGCUGAGUUUUUCUCUGUGGAUUCAAGCAAGUCACCUGAAAAGCAGAUAUAAAAGGUCAAAGGUGGAGCUUCUGUGCCGUGCAGUACCACCUCCCUGCCAGCGGAGGCAGCAGAACACCUGACCGGAGCGGCCAAUCGGAGCUCAGCGCUCCACUCUCAACUAAAGCAACAUGGCUGAGGUUUCGUCUUCUGCGUUGUGGUUCUGGAGGAUCUGAACAUCGACUUUUCUCCAGGACGUACCGGCCUGUUGCUGCGACGAUCGUUCUUCCUGAUGGUCAUCCUCACCGUGACCUUCUGACAAGACUUCCCGUCUUCUUUGCCUGUUCACCCGACAACGGACCACAUCAGUUAACGUGAGAUAUACAAAAGAAAAAGGAGCAGGAGAAACCCCGUCUGGAGCUGCACCAGGAGACGCAGCAGAUACCAGGAAGAGGAGGAAGGAAUGACCAAGGAGUGAAGAUCAUGCAUGAGAUGUUUCAGUUAGACGAAGGACAAAUAUUUCACUUCACAUGAAGCUAGAAAGCAACGGAAGGCUUCACAAACGAGGUAAAAAAACAAAAUGUAAAGAGCUGAGGAGACGAAUGUACCAAAUGGGUUCAAAAUAAUCUUAUCAAAUAUCAACACAAGUGUGUUUAUAAUAUAAAAGG
This is a long non-coding RNA of Gasterosteus aculeatus aculeatus (three-spined stickleback), 697 nucleotides long. The record is from Ensembl. NCBI's taxonomy places the organism in Eukaryota, Metazoa, Chordata, Actinopteri, Perciformes, Gasterosteidae.